This 253-nucleotide ribosomal RNA is filed under the name uncultured bacterium. RNAcentral's name for it is "partial 16S ribosomal RNA". It matches the Rfam family "Bacterial small subunit ribosomal RNA", at positions 524 to 776 of the family's 1533-position model. The record is from RNAcentral.
UACGUAGGGUGCGAGCGUUGUCCGGAAUUAUUGGGCGUAAAGGGCUCGUAGGCGGUCUGUCACGUCGGGAGUGAAAACACGGGGCUUAACCCCGUGCCUGCUUCCGAUACGGGCAGACUAGAGGUAUGCAGGGGAGAACGGAAUUCCUGGUGUAGCGGUGAAAUGCGCAGGUAUCAGGAGGAACACCGGUGGCGAAGGCGGUUCUCUGGGCAUUACCUGACGCUGAGGAGCGAAAGUGUGGGGAGCGAACAGG